GUCGCGCUGNAUCUUUGAGACAAGCAUAUGACUACUGGCAGGAUCAACCAGGUAGCAUUCCUUCACGACGUCCGCCAAGCAUGAUCCAUCGUGAAAGCCCGAGAGCUCCACAUGGUCAAAAACAAGGCAAGAGCGUCAUUUCGAUAAAAGCGAUAAACGCUUGAGAUUGGGAACGAGCAAGGGCCGAUGACCCUAGCACCCCCGAAAAAAGUUCCGCAUCCGAGAGAACAAGUAAAGCACUUGCGGUCCGUCCGAACAAUCCAAUGAAGAUGUGUUCGGGGAACACAAGCCCCACUAUGUGAUCCAACCGAGCGCCCAAAGAGGGUGUCGUGUUGAAUUAGGCAACGAUAGGCACAAAUUUCCAUCACGAUAGGGUAUGCAACACAGGAACCCGCUUUUUGCAUCCACAUUAGCUCAUGGAGCAAAACUUGAUCGAAAGCGAGGGAAGCAGUUCGAUGCACCAGCACGGAGCCUGCCAACACACACUUUCUUAUCACC
RNAcentral lists this unclassified non-coding RNA (498 nucleotides) under Eugenia gregii. RNAcentral's name for it is "partial external transcribed spacer". Lineage: Eukaryota; Viridiplantae; Streptophyta; Magnoliopsida; Myrtales; Myrtaceae. The record is from RNAcentral.